This 587-nucleotide ribosomal RNA is filed under the name uncultured bacterium. RNAcentral describes it as "bacterial SSU rRNA". It matches the Rfam family "Bacterial small subunit ribosomal RNA", at positions 338 to 916 of the family's 1533-position model. The record is from RNAcentral.
CCUACGGGAGGCAGCAGUAGGGAAUCUUCCACAAUGGGCGAAAGCCUGAUGGAGCAACGCCGCGUGAGUGAUGAAGGCCUUCGGGUUGUAAAACUCUGUCAUUCGGGACGAACCGGAGUCUGAGGAAAUGCAGACUCUCUGACGGUACCGGAGGAGGAAGCCCCGGCUAACUACGUGCCAGCAGCCGCGGUAAUACGUAGGGGGCAAGCGUUGUCCGGAUUCACUGGGCGUAAAGCGCGCGCAGGCGGUGAUGUAAGUCUGAGGUGAAAACCCGAAGCUCAACUUCGGGACUGCCUUGGAUACUGCGUCACUUGAGGAUAGGAGAGGCAAGGGGAAUUCCACGUGUAGCGGUGAAAUGCGUAGAGAUGUGGAGGAACACCUGUGGCGAAGGCGCCUUGCUGGCCUAUUUCUGACGCUGAGGCGCGAAAGCGUGGGGAGCAAACAGGAUUAGAUACCCUGGUAGUCCACGCUGUAAACGAUGAGUGCUAGGUGUAGGUGGGCUCAUACCCAUCUGUGCCGAAGCUAACGCAUUAAGCACUCCGCCUGGGGAGUACGGUCGCGAGACUGAAACGUCAAAGGAUUGACGG